RNAcentral lists this ribosomal RNA (2011 nucleotides) under Retortamonadidae sp. IC-2014a. RNAcentral's name for it is "partial small subunit ribosomal RNA". It matches the Rfam family "Eukaryotic small subunit ribosomal RNA". The record is from RNAcentral. Lineage: Eukaryota; Fornicata; Retortamonadidae.
UAGUCAUAUGCUUGCCUCAAAGAUUAAGCCAUGCAUGUCUAAGUAUAAACUUUUAUACGGUGAAACUGCGAACGGCUCAUUAAAUCAGUUGCAAUCGAAGUGGUUAUAAGAGAAUGAUCGGAUAACACUGGCAAAACUAGUGCUAAUACGUCUGGGCCCGCGCUCGCGAGAGAGCGUGUCCGCACAUACUAGCCGCAGUGCCAAUUUUAAGGACGAAUCAUAGUAUGCAGUUGAUCGGCUCCCGCGAGCCGACGUACCAUUCGAGCUUCUGCACUAUCAUCUCAGGUUGGUAGAGUAGUGGUCUACCAAGGAGUUUACGGUUAACGGAGGAUUAGGGUUCGACUCCGGAGAAUGAGCCUGAGAGACGGCUCAUACAUCCAAGGAUGGCAGCAGGCGCGAAAAUUACCCAAUGUACUAAGUACGAGGUAGUGACAAGGAAUAUCGAGGCUGGUGGGCUUAUGCCCGUUCAGCCGUUGAAAUGGGUGGGUUUCAAAGGGACCCGCGAACACGAGUCGAGGGAAAGGUCUGGUGCCAGCAGCCGCGGUAAUUCCAGCUCGACUAGCGUAUAUUAAAGUUGUUGCAGUUAAAACGUUCGUAGUUUGACUUGCGGUUCUGUGUGGGUUUGGGGGCUUUCGGGCUCUUGGGACAGUGUGGGGUGAUUAGCUACUUCGGUACUUAUCACACUAUGCUACUUCCCGCUAUAUGUAUAGUUAUCGCACAACGGGACUGUAUUUUCUACCCUUCCAGGUAGAAUAAUUACCAUGAGGAAAUAGGUACGUUCAUAGUAGGGUUCUCUACUGGCUCAGCCAGUAGCGUGGUGCAGCCUCACCGCUGCCCCAUGGUCCGUUGAACAGGCCAGCAUGGGAUAAUGUAUUAUGACUCGGCGUCGUUCUACAUUGGCUGCUUGCAGACGCAAAGUAAUGGUUAAUAGGAGUGAUCGCGUGGGCAUCAGGACCAGACGGGGACAGGUGAAAUAGGAUGAUCCGUCUGAGACUAUCUAAAGCGAAAGCAUUUGCCAAGUACACUUUCAUUAAUCAAGAUCGAAAGCCAGGGGAUAGAAGGCGAUUAGACACCACCGUAUUCCUGGCCAUAAACUAUACCAACUAAGAAUUGGAAGCGUAUUCCAUUUUUUUAAAUAUUGGUUCCUUUCAGCGCUCAUAGAGAAAUCGUUAAGUUUUCGGGUUCUGGGGGGAGUAUGGUCGCAAGGCUGAAACUUGAAGGCAUUGACGGAGAGAUACCACAAGACGUGGAGUCUGCGGCUCAAUUUGACUCAACACGUAAACCUUACCAGGCCCAGACGUGCGUGGGAUUGACAGAUUGAUAGUUCUUUCAUGAUUGCAUGGUUGGUGGUGCAUGGCCGUUCUUAGCCCGUAACGUAAGUCGUCUGCUUUAUUGCGAUAACGAGCGAGACCUCUGUGGUUAAAUGCCGUGGUCGGGUUUUUCUGGCAGUCGAGGGGCUUGCGCAUUCUUUGCGCGAGCGUAUUCCUCUGUGCCGACGCCCAAGACUUGUUCGGACCUAAAAACCGAACUAAACGGCUCUUAGCCAGACUGUUGACGAUUCCAAAGUCAAAGGAAGGUAGAGGCAAUAACAGGUCUGUGAUGCCCUUAGAUGCCCUGGGCCGCACGCGUACUACACUGGUGGAUUCAGAGGGUCCUGCGGGUUGCUUUUUUAAUUGGUGAGGAGGCCGGUGAUGAGCCGUGUUUUUUCUUACCAGAAGCAGCCCUGUGGCGUUUAACGACGCUACUACUCGCGAAUAUCCAUCGUGGCUGGGAUUGGGGCUUGGAACUAUGCCCCAUAAACAAGGAAUGUCUAGUAAGUGCACUUCACAAAGAUGCGCUGAUUCUGUCCCUGUCCCUUGUACACACCGCCCGUCGCUUGAUCCGAUUGGUUGCUUUGGCGAGUUCUUCGGACUACUUGGAAUAAGAGGAGACUUCGGUUUUUUUUUAUUUUGGGAAGGAAGUUGUGCGAGCCUAAGGAAUUAGAGGAACAAGAAGUCGUAACAAGGUAUCC